Molecule: long non-coding RNA, 1032 nt
Organism: Tyto alba (common barn owl)
Lineage: Eukaryota; Metazoa; Chordata; Aves; Strigiformes; Tytonidae
Exons: 4
Source: RefSeq, a predicted model, not a curated record
CGGGUCUGAAUCCUGGUGUUUUCCCCAGUCGCCGCGCCCCCGACGUUCAUCCCGCCGGGAUCCCCGGGGGACCGACUUUGUGUCAUGUUGUGAAUGCAACAUGUUCGACAGCAUACCUGCCGGGGAAAAUAUCUUCUCUGAUGGCGGAGCAGAGCCCGCCGGAGCUGCUGCAGGCCCGGCUCAGCGGGGACGGAGGGCGCGAGGCACGGCCGCGCUCUCGGCACCCCGGAGGUGCCGCCGGAACGGAGCGGGGACCACCGCUGGCUCUGCUCGGGAGCGCUGGCCGCGGGGCCCCCCAGCCCCUUCCCGGGGCCACCUCCGGGGCAGCGUGAGCGGCCGGCAGCACCUGCCCCAGCCCCGCCGGGGCCGCGAUGACGGACUGCCAAGGACGGGGCUCCCUCCUAACCUCUCGCCGUUCGGGAAGCCGAGAACUCCGAGCUGAUCAAAGAAACAAACACUUUUAAUGAAACAUAUGCAAGAUACUUAGAAGGAGAAGAUUCACAAUGCAUCUGCUGCGGGACCAGAAGGCUUAUCAAAAGUGUGAAGUAGGAGGAGAAGAAUUACGAGUGUAUGAUGCCAGAGAAGAUUACAGAAAUAUUAAGCAGAAGGAAUGUAAACACGUAUAGCUGGGGGGUAGAGGCUCGCUCUGAGGGUGCUGGUGCCUUUGGGUGCCAGGCCAGGGGCUGGGUGCAGCUUUGGGUGGCCCCAGUUGGGGCACCCCACGCACCCAGCCCUCGCCGCGGGGGGCUGGCCACGGCCGGGGCCGGCAGGACAGCGCGUGUGUCCCGGUCCCCCCCCUGCCCCGGGGACCCCCUCUGCAACUCAGCAGCGAAACAGCAGCAGGGAACCCGCCCCAUCAUCUUCUUCAGCUGGCCUCGGAGCCGAGGAGCAUCAGGACAACAAUUUAUUUACACCUCCCUCCCGAAACAAAAAACUUCAGCGGAGGAUCAGUUUUCUUGCACCGCUUAUUGAAAACAUAAACACCGUGAAAACCUGUAAUUUCUGGGGAUAAUACAGGAGGUUUAACUAUCA